CUACACAGUAUGAGCAUGCUGGCUCUAAAAGGAGUCUCUCUGGGGAGAAAGCGGGGGCGGGCAGUGCCUCCAAAGAAAUGUCGCUCUGAUGGAAUUGACAUUUACAAUGAAGCUGGAAGGUGAGUUGUAUGUAUGGGACUGACACAGAUUCCAAACAGCAUUUCUAUCACAAAUAUUGAUAUUAAUUGUAGAGCUCAGAAGUGAUAUUAUAUCAUAAGGCAGAAGUAGCCUGGGUACUAAUCUGUUUGUGCCAUCAUGUCACUCCUUGGCAUACAAGGAGUGGCAAGGAAUGGUGUAAUGGCACAAACAGAUUGGAACCCAGGCUAAGGCAGAAGAUAUUAUUGACCGAAGAUCUGUCUCUGUUAUGUUGAAGCCAAAUCCAGCAGGAGAGACCAGUCUCACCUGUACCCAGCUGUCUGUCCAUGCAAACGGACAUGUCUAUUGAUCCUCCGUUCAACUUCAUGACAGAAAAUAUAUCUACUGAUCAAAAGCCUGUCUGUGUUCUCUUGUUCUGCUCAUUUGUUUCUAGUCAAUAUUUUGAAGCAAACAGUAAAUCACCAACGUCCUGUAGUUUUAUGCGUUACAUUGAAUGUGCUUCUUUACGGGGCCCAGCAGCAGAGACCAGUUCUGUCCACGAACAGUGACCAGUCAAUGGGACAUCAAGAACACUUCAGGGAUGGGAACACUGGGCAUGCGUCUAAGUUCUCUGCUGACAGGAUCCAAGAGGAGAGAGCCAAUUCUCCUGGACCAAGCUGGGUCCUUUAAGAGUGACUGGUCAAUGGUUCAUCCUAAAACACAAUUCGGGUAGGAAGGCAUUUCUACUGAUCAAAGAGACCUGCAAGAGAGAUCAGAGUCAGACGUUCCCCGUGGCCGGUCUACGGCCGGUCACACUGCACAUCCUGAGGAACAUGAACCAGAAAGAGCUCACUGACACACUGGAGAACAUGCGAACCAUGAUGCAGAACGCUGGAUAAAAUCUGGCCUAAGAAAAUAUGCCCGUGAGCCAACACUGGACGCAAACACGGCACACAGAAAACUGUCAGAGGGGAACAUGGGGGAGAGAAGAGCAGCCGUAUCCUGAUCACCCAGAGAGAUGUGAGGGCUGUUGGCAGGUGCUGUGUAAAGAGGGUCUGAAUAGGCGCAGUUAUUGGGAGUCGGAUCGAAGAGGAAAUGGGAGUGACAGAGAAAAAUCGGCAGGAGUGGAGAGUUUGGGGACUGUUGGCGUCGACGUAAUGACAAGUCCUGGAGUUUGCGAUGCUUUGACAACAGUUACAUCGCCUUCCAUAAUGCUAGGAGUAUUGCUUUACCUGCUCCCUCAUCUUAUUCGAACAGAGUAGGAGUGUAUCUGGACUGGCUGGCACUCUGUCCUUCUACAGUGUCUCCUCUGGUACACUGACCCAUCUGCAUACAUUCUACUCCACAUUUUCUAACCCUCUUUACCCAGGGUUUAGGGUUGGGAAUGAUGACAGUGUGCCUGUGUCAGGUAGAGCAGCAUCCAAUUUAAAACUCAGGCCAGAAUUCCAUCUAGUUGAUUUUGGCAUUGCGGUGUUAGAAGUACGUUCACGUUGCAGUGCAACGUGUUCGCUCCAGACUUGAUACUCGAUUUAGAAAUCAGUAGUCCCGUACUACCUGGUUUUAGUGGAAGCCCUGGUAGGAUGUUGAGUUACCCACCCUCCCUUCUAUUUUUAUCUUGAUAAUUCAUUGCAGUCAAGCAGAUUUUAAAUCUGUGACACACUGCUGUGCAAAUCAAACACAAUUUCGGUGACCUUAAAUAAAAUGGCAUUUAUUUAUUUUUCUACUCUGCUUCACCUACAGCAAACAUUUUUGGUUUUGUUGAAUUUCGGAGUUAAGCAUAUUGAGUUUAGAGAAUUUUUGUUUUAUCUGGAAUAAAAAUCUAAGAUGUGCCCAGAUCACAGCCUUAAAACACCACUUGUAAUUUAGGAAAUAUGUGUUGAACAUCAAUGUAGGCUAAUUGAGUUAUAAAUCACAUACUAUAGCCAGAUCUCCAGGCCAUUGAACUUCUGUUACCUGGUCUCAGAGCCACAAACCAUUUUAUGUAGUGAAAGUGUCUGGAUGAAAAAUGCUGUUGAGGAGAAUGUGACCGUUUUGGCUGAGAGACCACUGAAAAUAUUAUCCCGCUAGAUGGUGAUGCGAUAAAUACAUGCCAGUAACUACUACCGUCCCAAGAUGAGUGGCGGUUCUGACAUCAGCAGCACUAGCUAUUAUGCAUCCUCAUCGGAUAAAGAGUACUUCCCCUAAAUUUGGGUAGGAAAAAUGUACUUUACUUGCCUAUAUACUAUACAGAGCGACAACAACAAAAAAACAGUAUGGUAUUGCCCCAGAUAUUCUGUAUUUCACUCAAUAUUCCUACAGUAAAAUCAUAAUCAACUCAGUCUGCCUGUACUUUAAUAUAUUCUUUAUUUUCUUAAACAAAAUUGAAGUAAAAACCUUUAUGUAGAAAGACAAAUUCCCUGUCAGUAGCGUUCCACCUAAGGUUCUUGAUUUAGGGCCUCCAGUAGACUCCCGUCUAUUGGGUUGUUCUCUUCUACUGUGUGAGUCAACGUAAGAAUAUUACACCACAGAGUCAGUACCAUCUCUAACUCCCUACUAGCUCAUGAAUUAACUCACUAACUUGUGAAUUAACUCAUGCAGACUUUCGAGAAACACAGUGGGAAGAAUGUUAACAGCAAAUAGUGUUAAAAGAAAGUUAAAAACAGCAGUGUCCAUUACAAAGGCUGAAGAAAGAAAGCAAACAUGUGAGCAGGUGAGCUGUAUAGUACACAUCGUUGUCCAGUCACCUCUGGCAGUGUUUUCAACUAGUAUUGAAAUCGGGGAGAAAAAAAAGA
Molecule: non-coding RNA, 2846 nt
Organism: Oncorhynchus mykiss (rainbow trout)
Lineage: Eukaryota; Metazoa; Chordata; Actinopteri; Salmoniformes; Salmonidae
Source: RefSeq, a predicted model, not a curated record